RNAcentral lists this ribosomal RNA (783 nucleotides) under Leptoxyphium sp. DB-2023a. RNAcentral's name for it is "partial large subunit ribosomal RNA". It matches the Rfam family "Eukaryotic large subunit ribosomal RNA", at positions 86 to 893 of the family's 3401-position model. Lineage: Eukaryota; Fungi; Ascomycota; Dothideomycetes; Capnodiales; Capnodiaceae. The record is from RNAcentral.
ACGGCGAGUGAAGCGGCAAAAGCUCAGAUUUGAAAUCUGGCGUCUUCGACGUCCGAGUUGUAAUCUGUAGAGGAUGACUUUGGGUAGCCACCGGUCUAAGUCCCCUGGAACGGGGUGUCACAGAGGGUGAGAAUCCCGUAUGUGACCGGAAGGGCGCCCUAUACAUGUCUCCUUCGACGAGUCGAGUUGUUUGGGAAUGCAGCUCUAAAUGGGAGGUAAAUUCCUUCUAAAGCUAAAUACCGGCCAGAGACCGAUAGCGCACAAGUAGAGUGAUCGAAAGAUGAAAAGCACUUUGGAAAGAGAGUUAAAAAGCACGUGAAAUUGUUGAAAGGGAAGCGCUUGCAACCAGACUUGUUGGCGGUGUUCCGCCGGUCUUCUGACCGGUCUACUCACCGUCUGCAGGCCAGCAUCAUCUGGGGCCGCUGGAUAAAAGCGGAGGGAAUGUGGCUCCUCCGGGAGUGUUAUAGCCCUCCGUGCAAUACAGCGAGCCCCGGGUGAGGUCCGCGCUUCGGCUAGGAUGCUGGCGUAAUGGUCGUAAGCGGCCCGUCUUGAAACACGGACCAAGGAGUCUAACAUCUAUGCGAGUGUUCGGGUGUCAAACCCCUACGCGUAAUGAAAGUGAACGGAGGUGGGAACCUUUUAGGUGCACCAUCGACCGAUCCUGAUGUCUUCGGAUGGAUUUGAGUAAGAGCAUAGCUGUUGGGACCCGAAAGAUGGUGAACUAUGCCUGGAUAGGGUGAAGCCAGAGGAACUCUGGUGGAGGCUCGCAGCGGUUCUGACGUG